GCGUAAGAGGCCAUAGUGGAAUGGCGCCUGCCUUCCAAGUAGGAGAUAGCGAGUUCGAACCUCGUCUUACGCU
Molecule: transfer RNA, 73 nt
Filed under: Cellulophaga phage phi40:1
Lineage: Duplodnaviria; Heunggongvirae; Uroviricota; Caudoviricetes; Pervagoviridae
Also listed under: 3 other names
Description: tRNA-Gly
Rfam family: tRNA
About the family: Transfer RNA (tRNA) molecules are approximately 80 nucleotides in length.
Source: RNAcentral